GCCAGUAGCCAUAUCACUCUGCAACUCAGAACUGGCAACCCACUGAAGCUAAGCAGGUGUGAGCCUGGGCAGUACCUGGAUGGGAGACCUCCUGGGAAAAACUAAGGUUACUGCUGGAA
Lepisosteus oculatus (spotted gar) is the source of this 119-nucleotide ribosomal RNA. Lineage: Eukaryota; Metazoa; Chordata; Actinopteri; Semionotiformes; Lepisosteidae. The record is from Ensembl.